AUCUUCAGGCUCACAUCAGAACAGAUCUCAUGUUUGCAGAAAACACAUGGAGUUCACUUCACUGAAUGGCAGGAACUGAGUCAAGAGAAAGAGCUCAAGCUGGAAGUCUGUAAGUGAACAUAGGGUCUCAUCAGAAGAAGGUGGAGAUUGACUCUUGCCCUAGACCGCCCUUUUCACAAAAGCUAGAAAUCCAUGCCUUAGACUGACAAGAGCCUGGAAUCCAAAUCUUUCCUUUUAGGAGACUAAGAAGCUCUGGCUGCAGGCUAGCACCUUUGUACACCACUGUCAGAGUAAAGUGAAAACCCACUCUGCAUUUGGGACUGAGACCACACAAGCCCCAGGAAUAAACCACAAUCUUGGACUAGAAGGGUCUGGAUGAAGCAAACUGCACCAUUUCUCAUCACAAGAGCACCC
Long non-coding RNA from Camarhynchus parvulus, 414 nucleotides. RefSeq lists it as uncharacterized. The transcript has 4 exons. The record is from RefSeq and is a predicted model, not a curated record. Lineage: Eukaryota; Metazoa; Chordata; Aves; Passeriformes; Thraupidae.